UGCAAGUCGAACGCCCCGCAAGGGGAGUGGCAGACGGGUGAGUAACGCGUGGGAACGUACCCUUUACUACGGAAUAACUCAGGGAAACUUGUGCUAAUACCGUAUGUGCCCUUCGGGGGAAAGAUUUAUCGGUAAAGGAUCGGCCCGCGUUGGAUUAGCUAGUUGGUGGGGUAAAGGCCUACCAAGGCGACGAUCCAUAGCUGGUCUGAGAGGAUGAUCAGCCACACUGGGACUGAGACACGGCCCAGACUCCUACGGGAGGCAGCAGUGGGGAAUAUUGGACAAUGGGCGCAAGCCUGAUCCAGCCAUGCCGCGUGAGUGAUGAAGGCCCUAGGGUUGUAAAGCUCUUUCAACGGUGAAGAUAAUGACGGUAACCGUAGAAGAAGCCCCGGCUAACUUCGUGCCAGCAGCCGCGGUAAUACGAAGGGGGCUAGCGUUGUUCGGAAUUACUGGGCGUAAAGCGCACGUAGGCGGAUUGGUCAGUUAGGGGUGAAAUCCCAGGGCUCAACCCUGGAACUGCCUUUAAUACUGCCGGUCUAGAGUUCGAGAGAGGUGAGUGGAAAUUCCGAGUGUAGAGGUGAAAUUCGUAGAUAUUCGGAGGAACACCAGUGGCGAAG
This 617-nucleotide ribosomal RNA is filed under the name uncultured Aquamicrobium sp. RNAcentral describes it as "bacterial SSU rRNA". It matches the Rfam family "Bacterial small subunit ribosomal RNA", at positions 56 to 720 of the family's 1533-position model. Lineage: Bacteria; Pseudomonadati; Pseudomonadota; Alphaproteobacteria; Hyphomicrobiales; Phyllobacteriaceae. The record is from RNAcentral.